This is a non-coding RNA of Meleagris gallopavo (turkey), 59 nucleotides long. The record is from Rfam. Lineage: Eukaryota; Metazoa; Chordata; Aves; Galliformes; Phasianidae.
CCAAAGGCCCUUCAAGGAUUUCAAACAUAGGGCCACCAACACUACAAACCUCAAUGAUU